This 313-nucleotide ribosomal RNA is filed under the name uncultured bacterium. RNAcentral describes it as "bacterial SSU rRNA". It matches the Rfam family "Bacterial small subunit ribosomal RNA", at positions 490 to 793 of the family's 1533-position model. The record is from RNAcentral.
GCACCGGCUAACUCCGUGCCAGCAGCCGCGGUAAUACGGAGGGUGCGAGCGUUAAUCGGAAUUACUGGGCGUAAAGCGCAUGCAGGCGGCCUGUUAAGUCAGAUGUGAAAGGACCCGGGGCGUUAACCUACGGAAUUGCAUUUAGUAAACUAGGCAGGCUAGAGUCUUGUAGAGGGGGGUAGGAAUUUCAGGUGUAGCGGUGAAAAUGCGUAGAGAUCUGAAGGAAUACCAGUGGCGAAGGCGGCCCCCUGGACAAAGACUGACGCUCAGAUGCGAAAGCGUGGGGAGCAAACAGGAUUAGAUACCCUGGUAG